CACGGCGCACGGGUGAGUAACACGUGGGCAAUCUGCCCUCGGAUGGGGGAUAACUCGCCGAAAGGCGAGCUAAUACCGCAUGACAUUCCCUACGGCAAAGGCCCGUCUGAGGAGGAGCCCGCGCCCGAUUAGCUAGUUGGUGAGGUAACGGCUCACCAAGGCUUUGAUCGGUAGCCGGUCUGAGAGGAUGGCCGGCCACACUGGAACUGAGACACGGUCCAGACUCCUACGGGAGGCAGCAGUGGGGAAUAUUGCGCAAUGGGCGAAAGCCUGACGCAGCGACGCCGCGUGGGGGAUGAAGCUUUUCGGAGUGUAAACCCCUUUCGACCCGGACGAAUGACGGUACGGGUAUAAGAAGCCCCGGCUAACUACGUGCCAGCAGCCGCGGUAAUAC
This 394-nucleotide ribosomal RNA is filed under the name uncultured soil bacterium. RNAcentral describes it as "bacterial SSU rRNA". It matches the Rfam family "Bacterial small subunit ribosomal RNA", at positions 94 to 526 of the family's 1533-position model. The record is from RNAcentral.